AGGGCUUAGCUGCUUGUGAGCAAGGUCUACAGCAAAGUCGUGUUCACAGUGGCUAAGUUCCGC
RNAcentral lists this microRNA precursor (63 nucleotides) under Rattus norvegicus (Norway rat). RNAcentral's name for it is "Rno-Mir-27-P3_pre stem-loop". It matches the Rfam family "mir-27 microRNA precursor family", at positions 10 to 80 of the family's 80-position model. Lineage: Eukaryota; Metazoa; Chordata; Mammalia; Rodentia; Muridae. The record is from RNAcentral.